Molecule: long non-coding RNA, 364 nt
Filed under: Fukomys damarensis (Damara mole-rat)
Lineage: Eukaryota; Metazoa; Chordata; Mammalia; Rodentia; Bathyergidae
Description: lncRNA (ENSFDAG00000033526.1)
Source: RNAcentral
GUGUGACUGUAGGCUAAUAAUUCUAUGUGUUUUCUCUUUGCGUGUCUUUAAAGGAUUGGAUCAGAUCUAUUUCUGCCCAAGUUGUGCAGAUCUUACCAGAUAUUAAGAAGAUAAAAAGAAAUAGAGAAAGAAUGUUCAGCAAAGACAGGACUCCUGCCUUCUCAAUGUGAAUUGUUCCUUUGUUCUUCUCUGUGUUCCUGUCCAGCCACACGGGAAACUCUUAAGAGACAAAGAAAAACAAAACAGACCCUCUGCUGUUUGAAGGUGGUGCCGCUGAGUCUUCUGUCCCUGGUACAUCAGACUAUCGGAGGAUGGUAUUCUGAGAUUUUUGCAGUAGAGGAUAGGAAGUCUUUAAUGGGGGCUU